GGGUGUAUAGCUCAGUGGCAGAGUGGGUGCUUAGCGUGCUCAAGGUCCUGGGUUCAAUCCUCAGUACCGCCA
This 72-nucleotide transfer RNA is filed under the name Camelus bactrianus (Bactrian camel). It matches the Rfam family "tRNA". From Rfam's summary of the family: Transfer RNA (tRNA) molecules are approximately 80 nucleotides in length. RNAcentral also lists the same sequence under 2 other names. Lineage: Eukaryota; Metazoa; Chordata; Mammalia; Artiodactyla; Camelidae. The record is from Rfam by way of RNAcentral.